CCUACGGGAGGCAGCAGUGGGGGAUAUUGCACAAUGGGGGAAACCCUGAUGGUGCGACGCCGCGUGGGGGAAUGAAGGUCUUCGGAUUGUAAACCCCUGUCAUGUGGGAGCAAAUUAAAAAGAUAGUACCACAUGAGGAAGAGACGGCUAACUCUGUGCCAGCAGCCGCGGUAAUACAGAGGUCUCAAGCGUUGUUCGGAAUCACUGGGCGUAAAGCGUGCGUAGGCUGUUUCGUAAGUCGUGUGUGAAAGGCGCGGGCUCAACCCGCGGACGGCACAUGAUACUGCGAGACUAGAGUAAUGGAGGGGGAACCGGAAUUCUCGGUGUAGCAGUGAAAUGCGUAGAUAUCGAGAGGAACACUCGUGGCGAAGGCGGGUUCCUGGACAUUAACUGACGCUGAGGCACGAAGGCCAGGGGAGCGAAAGGGAUUAGAUACCCUUGUAGUC
This 446-nucleotide ribosomal RNA is filed under the name uncultured bacterium. Its description in RNAcentral is "partial 16S ribosomal RNA". It matches the Rfam family "Bacterial small subunit ribosomal RNA", at positions 338 to 795 of the family's 1533-position model. The record is from RNAcentral.